Molecule: long non-coding RNA, 1176 nt
Filed under: Mytilus galloprovincialis (Mediterranean mussel)
Lineage: Eukaryota; Metazoa; Mollusca; Bivalvia; Mytilida; Mytilidae
Source: RNAcentral
UGCGCUUGUAAGCUCUUAUUUUUUGCUUGAUUUCGAAAUAAUGUAUCAUGAUACAUAAAUAGCAUAUAAUCUUUUGGAAAAUGUUAUGGUACAUAAAUUAGAAAAUGGCCUAAAUUGGAAUGUUUUUCAUGACCUUUGACCUUGGUUUAACAGAAAAUGCAUUGUACAUUUUUUUUUAGGACUGGGCGAAACAGAAAGUACAGAUUAUUAGCUUUCGAAUGAUAUAUAAUACAGCCUUGUGUUAUGUGGUUGCAUUAAAGUCGUUAACUUAGGCGUCUUUUUGAAAUAAGUCACUGGCCUAUCAAGCAUAUAUAACAAACACAAGUGAUAAACAGAUAAAACUGGAAAAAAUUUAGGACUAUAAAGCUCUGCAAAAAUAAAACAUCUGAAGUUAUUUUUUCUGAACAGAAUAUAUAUUGAGCUUGACCUGUAAACUUGUCAUAAUCUAUUUAUAACUAUAAUAAGGGUUAGAUUUGGGUUUCCUCUUUCAUGUUACAUGAUGUGUAACCCCGCCGCAUUCUGUAUACCGUCUUUUGGUGUGUAUAAUUCGCACAUUUUUACCCUGGGGAUUGUUUCUUGUAAGAGGGGUGCGCUUUAUACAUGACUACAAACAUUUUCUUAGUCUUUUUUCAGCUCCAAACUCCGAUAAAGAAGUUUCCAAGUGAAGUGAAGAAUACGGAAUAUUUUCGCUAAAACCUCGACUGUUUUUAUGUUUUUCAUGUCAUUAUAUAUUUGUAACAUGUAUCGUAUUACUCUUGAUUUGUCACUUUUUAUUCAACUAAAAUAUAGUGUAUAUAUUUGAUGUUACAUUUAUCGUGUCAAUUUGUCCACCUGUUUUGCAAUCUGGAAAUUUGCUACCGAGGCGAACCAGAGGGGGGAUGGCGUAGAGGGUGUACGCCCCCGCUCCCUUUUGCUUGGACUUUUUUUUUUUGUAAACUGAUUGAUCAGACAAGACUUCGAAAACUUUGCCAUAUCCCGUGUAUUUAUUUUUUAUGUCACAAUUCAUUACUUAUAAUGAUAUUUUUUGCUUGUAGUUACUGAUUAUGUCAAACUCAUGUGAUGAUUCGCUAUUAUGGAGUUGAUCAGUUCGCCGUAAAAACGUCACUUAUUGCAGUCAUUUUGAAAUUCAAAUUACAGUAACACAUGGACAGUUCUACGGCAAUACUUGUUUCGCAA